RNAcentral lists this ribosomal RNA (423 nucleotides) under uncultured Streptococcus sp. Its description in RNAcentral is "bacterial SSU rRNA". It matches the Rfam family "Bacterial small subunit ribosomal RNA", at positions 335 to 749 of the family's 1533-position model. Lineage: Bacteria; Bacillati; Bacillota; Bacilli; Lactobacillales; Streptococcaceae. The record is from RNAcentral.
UUUCCUACGGGGGGGCAGCAGUAGGGAAUCUUCGGCAAUGGACGGAAGUCUGACCGAGCAACGCCGCGUGAGUGAAGAAGGUUUUCGGAUCGUAAAGCUCUGUUGUAAGAGAAGAACGAGUGUGAGAGUGGAAAGUUCACACUGUGACGGUAUCUUACCAGAAAGGGACGGCUAACUACGUGCCAGCAGCCGCGGUAAUACGUAGGUCCCGAGCGUUGUCCGGAUUUAUUGGGCGUAAAGCGAGCGCAGGCGGUUAGAUAAGUCUGAAGUUAAAGGCUGUGGCUUAACCAUAGUAGGCUUUGGAAACUGUUUAACUUGAGUGCAAGAGGGGAGAGUGGAAUUCCAUGUGUAGCGGUGAAAUGCGUAGAUAUAUGGAGGAACACCGGUGGCGAAAGCGGCUCUCUGGCUUGUAACUGACGCUGA